GAUGAACGCUGGCGGCGUGCCUAAUACAUGCAAGUCGAGCGAACAGACGAGGAGCUUGCUCCUUUGACGUUAGCGGCGGACGGGUGAGUAACACGUGGAUAACCUACCUAUAAGACUGGGAUAACUUCGGGAAACCGGAGCUAAUACCGGAUAACAUGUUGAACCGCAUGGUUCAACAGUGAAAGACGGUCUUGCUGUCACUUAUAGAUGGAUCCGCGCCGCAUUAGCUAGUUGGUAAGGUAACGGCUUACCAAGGCAACGAUGCGUAGCCGACCUGAGAGGGUGAUCGGCCACACUGGAACUGAGACACGGUCCAGACUCCUACGGGAGGCAGCAGUAGGGAAUCUUCCGCAAUGGGCGAAAGCCUGACGGAGCAACGCCGCGUGAGUGAAGAAGGUCUUCGGAUCGUAAAACUCUGUUAUUAGGGAAGAACAAAUGUGUAAGUACCUAUGCACGUCUUGACGGUACCUAAUCAGAAAGCCACGGCUAACUACGUG
RNAcentral lists this ribosomal RNA (497 nucleotides) under uncultured bacterium. RNAcentral describes it as "partial 16S ribosomal RNA". It matches the Rfam family "Bacterial small subunit ribosomal RNA", at positions 28 to 507 of the family's 1533-position model. The record is from RNAcentral.